UAACGAAUAUUCCGCAAUGGGCGCAAGCCUGACGGAGCGACGCCGCGUGCAGGACGAAGUCCUUCGGGAUGUAAACUGCUUUUUGGGGAAAGGAAACACGACCGUACCCGGAAUAAGCCACGGCUAACUCUGUGCCAGCAGCCGCGGUAAUACAGAGGUGGCAAGCGUUGCUCGGAAUCACUGGGCUUAAAGGGCAUGUAGGCGGCCGAGUAAGCAUUUUGUGAAAUCCCCCGGCUCAACCGGGGAAUCGCUUGAUGAACUGCUCGGCUCGAGGGAGACAGGGGCGACUGGAACUCUGGGUGGAGCGGUGAAAUGCGUAGAUAUCCAGGGGAACGCCGGUGGAGAAAUCGGGUCGCUGGGUCUUACCUGACGCUGAGGUGCGAAAGCCAGGGGAGCGAACGGGAUUAGAUACCCCGGUAGUCC
This 423-nucleotide ribosomal RNA is filed under the name uncultured bacterium. RNAcentral describes it as "bacterial SSU rRNA". It matches the Rfam family "Bacterial small subunit ribosomal RNA", at positions 355 to 796 of the family's 1533-position model. The record is from RNAcentral.